This 492-nucleotide ribosomal RNA is filed under the name uncultured bacterium. Its description in RNAcentral is "partial 16S ribosomal RNA". It matches the Rfam family "Bacterial small subunit ribosomal RNA", at positions 29 to 507 of the family's 1533-position model. The record is from RNAcentral.
AGUGAACGCUGGCGGUAGGCCUAACACAUGCAAGUCGAACGGCAGCACAGUAAGAGCUUGCUCUUACGGGUGGCGAGUGGCGGACGGGUGAGGAAUACAUCGGAAUCUACUUUUUCGUGGGGGAUAACGUAGGGAAACUUACGCUAAUACCGCAUACGACCUACGGGUGAAAGCAGGGGAUCUUCGGACCUUGCGCGAUUGAAUGAGCCGAUGUCGGAUUAGCUAGUUGGCGGGGUAAAGGCCCACCAAGGCGACGAUCCGUAGCUGGUCUGAGAGGAUGAUCAGCCACACUGGAAGUGCGACACGGUCCAGACUCCUACGGGAGGCAGCAGUGGGGAAUAUUGGACAAUGGGCGCAAGCCUGAUCCAGCCAUACCGCGUGGGUGAAGAAGGCCUUCGGGUUGUAAAGCCCUUUUGUUGGGAAAGAAAAGCAGAAGGUUAAUACCCCGCUGUUCUGACGGUACCCAAAGAAUAAGCACCGGCUAACUUCGUG